ACGAACGCUGGCGGCGUGCUUCACCCAUGCCAGUCGAACGGAAAGGCCCUGCUUUUGUGGGGUGCUCGAGUGGCGAACGGGUGAGUAACACGUGAGUAACCUGCCCUUGACUUUGGGAUAACUUCAGGAAAUUGGGGCUAAUACCGGAUAGGAGCUCCUGCUGCAUGGUGGGGGUUGGAAAGUUUCGGCGGUUGGGGAUGGACUCGCGGCUUAUCAGCUUGUUGGUGGGGUAGUGGCUUACCAAGGCUUUGACGGGUAGCCGGCCUGAGAGGGUGACCGGCCACAUUGGGACUGAGAUACGGCCCAGACUCCUACGGGAGGCAGCAGUGGGGAAUAUUGCACAAUGGGCGGAAGCCUGAUGCAGCAACGCCGCGUGCGGGAUGACGGCCUUCGGGUUGUAAACCGCUUUCGCCUGUGACGAAGCGUGAGUGACGGUAAUGGGUAAAGAAGCACCGGCUAACUACGUG
This 467-nucleotide ribosomal RNA is filed under the name uncultured bacterium. Its description in RNAcentral is "partial 16S ribosomal RNA". It matches the Rfam family "Bacterial small subunit ribosomal RNA", at positions 29 to 507 of the family's 1533-position model. The record is from RNAcentral.